GACGAACGCUGGCGGCGUGCUUAACACAUGCAAGUCGAACGGAAAGGCCCUGCUUCUGUGGGGUGCUCGAGUGGCGAACGGGUGAGUAACACGUGAGUAACCUGCCCUUGACUUUGGGAUAACUUCAGGAAACUGGGGCUAAUAACGGCUAGGAGCUCCUGCUGCAUGGUGGGGGUUGGAAAGUUUCGGCGGUUGGGGAUGGACUCGCGGCUUAUCAGCUUGUUGGUGGGGUAGUGGCUUACCAAGGCUUUGACGGGUAGCCGGCCUGAGAGGGUGACCGGCCACAUUGGGACUGAGAGACGGCCCAGACUGCUACGGGAGGCAGCAGUGGGGAAUAUUGCACAAUGGGCGGAAGCCUGAUGCAGCAACGCCGGGGGCGGGAUGACGGCCUUCGGGUUGGAAACCGCUUUCGCCUGUGACGAAGCCUGAGUGACGGUAAUGGGUAAAGAAGCACCGGCUAACUACGUG
Molecule: ribosomal RNA, 468 nt
Filed under: uncultured bacterium
Lineage: Bacteria
Description: partial 16S ribosomal RNA
Rfam family: Bacterial small subunit ribosomal RNA
Source: RNAcentral